GAUGCCUUGAGAACCAGCACCGAAUUUCCAAGAAGCCCACGCUGCGACAGAGCUGCCAAGGGUUUGGCUCAGAAAAUUCAGUGGAUAAGAUGGAGGCUUACGUUGUCGGAAUAAACCCAUCUCCCUUACUAGAGGGACAAGCCUGGUAUACUGGGGAAAUUUUGAAGUUCUGGAGUUGGACAGAACUGAGUUAAAAUCCUACAUGUGUGGCCGUGGAUUCGUGCCAAACUCUCAGGAACAGACAAAAGGUGGAGAAAAUGAAGCUCAGAGAGGUUAAGAAGCUGGUCCAAGAUUACACA
Molecule: long non-coding RNA, 299 nt
Organism: Molossus molossus (Pallas's mastiff bat)
Lineage: Eukaryota; Metazoa; Chordata; Mammalia; Chiroptera; Molossidae
Exons: 3
Source: RefSeq, a predicted model, not a curated record